UACGUAGGUGGCAAGCGUUGUCCGGAUUUAUUGGGCGUAAAGCGCCCGCAGGCGGCCUGGCAAGUCUCAGGUGAAAUCUCCCGGCUUAACUGGGAGGGUGCCCGGGAAACUGUCAGGCUCGAGGCAGGGAGAGGGAUGUGGAAUUCCCGGUGUAGUGGUGAAAUGCGUAGAUAUCGGGAGGAACACCAGUGGCGAAGGCGGCAUCCUGGCCCUGUCCUGACGCUCAGGGGCGAAAGCGUGGGGAGCAAACCGGAUUAGAUACCCGGGUAGUCCACGCCGUAAACGAUGAGUACUAGGUGUGGGGGGUAUCGACCCCCUCUGUGCCGAAGCUAACGCGAUAAGUACUCCGCCUGGGGACUACGGCCGCAAGGCUAAA
RNAcentral lists this ribosomal RNA (376 nucleotides) under uncultured bacterium. RNAcentral describes it as "bacterial SSU rRNA". It matches the Rfam family "Bacterial small subunit ribosomal RNA", at positions 524 to 898 of the family's 1533-position model. The record is from RNAcentral.